RNAcentral lists this long non-coding RNA (1248 nucleotides) under Zostera marina. Its description in RNAcentral is "long non-coding RNA (ZMAR_LNC005918)". The record is from RNAcentral. Lineage: Eukaryota; Viridiplantae; Streptophyta; Magnoliopsida; Alismatales; Zosteraceae.
AGGGAGGGUUUUGGUAGGAAAAUCAAGAACACCUAGGAGUGUUUGGUCUUGUGCACAAAUCUUGGAUAAUGUCAUUGAGCUCUUUUCAGCAUUAACAUCUAGCCCAGAGAAGGAGGAAAAUUUCUCUAGGGUCCUCUUUAUUGCAUUUAGGGAUUUUCUAUUUGCUUUUGAGAAUAUUAGAAUAUCGUCUGCAUAUAAUAGGUGUGAUAUAGAGGUUGCUCCGUUGACCAUAUAAGUGUCUAUUCUCUUUGCCAUAACCUCUCUUUCUAGUAGUCUGCUUAGCACAUCCAUGACUAUGUCAAAUAGGAUUGGGGAUAGGGGUCUCCUUGCCUUAUUCCUCUUUGAUUUUUAAAAGGUGGGGUGGGGGUGCCCUCAACUAGCACUGAGAAAGAUGCAGUGGAGAUACAAUUCCAUAUUAGCUUACAUAGAUGAGAGGAGAACCCAUAGACUCUUAGUGUGUCUAUUAUGGCCUCCCAUUUGAUUGUGUCAAAUACUUUCCUAAGGUCGAUGCUUAUGCAACAUCUUUUGGGGGUUCUUUUCCUACCAUACCCAUAGAGCAUUUCAUCUGCCAGCAAUGUAUUAUCUGAUAUUAACCUACCAUUUAUAAAAGCCGUCUGGUUUGGUGAUAUGAGUUGUGGCAGGACCUUAUUUAUCCUGUUUGUGAGGAUUUUUGUCAUUAAUUUAUAUAUUAGGUUGACACAGGAUAUUGGUCUGAAAUCUCCCAUUUCAGAUGCAGUGUUGGAUUUUGGGAUGAGGGUUAGGAAGGUGUGAUUUGUGGACCUUAGUAAAGGUUUCCCUUUGAAGAAUUGUGUUACACGGUCCAUUAUGUUCCUUUUAAGUUCAUUCCAGAAUUUCUCAAAGAAUUCAAGAGGUAAAGCCUCUUGUGUGUUUUCUUUAGUGGCAGAAAAUGCCAAAUUUUGGGGUAGUAUUUCUCAUAGAUUAAAAAGCGACGCUUAAAACGAAAAAGCGCUCCUGGAGGAGCGCUUUCCAAAUCGUUUUUUUUAAGCGGGUAAGUGGGUCGUGUUAGACUGUUAGUGAGUUUCUACCCAUCACCGGGCAAGAGAAGGGAGGAAGAGAAGGAUCUGUAAGCUGCAGUAGAAGCAAACUGAUGUUGUUCAUCUAUGUUUAAUAAAUGUUAUUACACAUAUAAAUGUUUACUGGUAAACGUGUAGUAUAAAUGUUAUUACACGUGUAGUAUAAAUGUUAUUACACGUUUACUGGUAAACGUGUAGUAUAAAUGUUAUUACA